This is an RNA transcript of Aedes albopictus (Asian tiger mosquito), 1151 nucleotides long. It is a transcript of the gene named endocuticle structural glycoprotein SgAbd-2, with no coding region annotated. The transcript is spliced from 4 exons. Lineage: Eukaryota; Metazoa; Arthropoda; Insecta; Diptera; Culicidae. The record is from RefSeq and is a predicted model, not a curated record.
UCGAUAUAUGGUAUAAAGCUAAAUGAACUAAAUCAACUAUAUUAGGUAAUACCCUCAUAAACCUUAUUAGAUUAACUUAGAUUUAUGUUGCGAUGAUGUCUAAAUAUGUCCAACUGUGGAGCACAAACAUAAAAAAAUCGGGUGGCGUUGAUUUAUGUUUGGGUGGAGGUUGACAGAGCCCCCAUACCUUCUCUUUCCAGGCAUCACUAAUUUACUAUGUCCAUUAAAAUCUUAACGAUGUGAUACACUAAUUUUUUAUCCGCGUGAUCACACCGCUGCCGAAUGGUCUCUCGACGUCACUACAGCAUGCAUCAGUCCAAUCUUGGAGGCCCGUCCAUUCGCACGUGUCUCGCGUCUCCGUAUAUGUAAACCGGUUCUAGCAGUCGAAGAGCAACCAUGACUGGUGGAUUAAUAUUAAUAUGGGACUUCUCGGUUUAGAUGGAAGAUUUACCCGAUGGAACUGUUCUUGAACUUCGAUAAGGAUUCCUUGUUGAAGGUGGACGAUCAUGUGGCUCAAUCCAAUCGCAAUUGUUUGUAUCGUACCGGUUAUCGCGGAGUUCGUUGGUGUGAUAGCAGCCGAUGAAGUUAAAACGGGCGAAGAAGUAUCCAUUGAGAAGUUUGUCAACAGGCAUAAUGGAGAUCAUUAUUUGUUUUCAUAUUCAUUGAGCGAUGGCCAGUUUCGAUACGAGCGAGGACGUUUUAAGACUUUCCUGGAUGAAAGCAAAGUGCCAGUGUGGUUUGUUACAGGAAAAUUCGGGUACAAGUUACGAGAUGGAAAGCUGAUCAGCUUUAAAUAUAUUGCUGAUGAAAAUGGUUACAGACAACAUAAAUUGAAUGAAGAUGAAGAUAUCGAAGAUGUCGGAACGCUUGGCAACAGGAUAGAUCCAAAAACUUUAGCAUCAUUAGUUGGAUAGCAGUUAUGUAAAUAAAUAGUUAAUUAUAGAAAUAUCAAACAUUGGUUAUCUAUUCAUCACCAUUCACCAGCCUUUACAUUUGUCCUUGAGUUUCACAAAAAAAUCUGAACAAUGUCAAAUUAUAUGCUUUUUUUGGGAUCAUAUCUCAGUUGGUAUGCUAAUUCGUAAAAAAGUAAGGGCCCAAGUGUGUUAUGUCACGAAAGAGUCAUGGCAGCGUAGGUUUUUGUUGCACAGAAG